Molecule: ribosomal RNA, 468 nt
Filed under: uncultured bacterium
Lineage: Bacteria
Description: partial 16S ribosomal RNA
Rfam family: Bacterial small subunit ribosomal RNA
Source: RNAcentral
GACGAACGCUGGCGGCGUGCUUAACACAUGCAAGUCGAACGGAAAGGCCCUGCUUUUGUGGGGUGCUCGAGUGGCGAACGGGUGAGUAACACGUGAGUAACCUGCCCUUGACUUUGGGAUAACUUCAGGAAACUGGGGCUAAUACCGGAUAGGAGCUCCUGCUGCAUGGUGGGGGUUGGAAAGUUUCGGCGGUUGGGGAUGGACUCGCGGCUUAUCAGCUUGUUGGUGGGGUAGUGGCUUACCAAGGCUUUGACGGGUAGCCGGCCUGAGAGGGUGACCGGCCACAUUGGGAAUGAGAUACGGCCCAGACUCCUACGGGAGGCAGAAGUGGGGAAUAUUGCACAAGGGGCGGAAGCCUGAUGCAGCAACGCCGCGUGCGGGAUGACGGCCUUCGGGUUGUAAACCGCUUUCGCCUGUGACGAAGCGUGAGUGACGGUAAUGGGUAAAGAAGCACCGGCUAACUACGUG